RNAcentral lists this ribosomal RNA (253 nucleotides) under uncultured bacterium. RNAcentral's name for it is "partial 16S ribosomal RNA". It matches the Rfam family "Bacterial small subunit ribosomal RNA", at positions 524 to 776 of the family's 1533-position model. The record is from RNAcentral.
UACCGAGGGUGCAAGCGUUAAUCGGAAUUACUGGGCGUAAAGCGCGCGUAGGUGGUUUGUUAAGUUGGAUGUGAAAUCCCCGGGCUCAACCUGGGAACUGCAUGCAAAACUGGCAAGCUAGAGUAUGGUAGAGGGUGGGGGAAUUUCCUGUGUAGCGGUGAAAUGCGUAGAUAUAGGAAGGAACACCAGUGGCGAAGGCGACCACCUGGACUGAUACUGACACUGAGGUGCGAAAGCGUGGGGAGCAAACAGG